GGGAAAACCCCCCCACUCUAUGACCGGUGCAAGUUUUGCGCGUAACUUCGUUAAUACUGGAGGGAUUUUCAAAAUUUCAACUUCCCCGAACACGUCAGGGUGUCCCAAAAAAACCCACCAGGCCAAUAACGCAAAAACGUGGCAGCUGCAAGCAAUUUUCUGCCCCAAAACCGACCCCCCUAUCAGUGCUGCACGCUCCAGCCGAGAUCGAUCCAUGCGAGCCGCCCGACCACUCCAGACUAAACAACAUCGAUAAAAUAUCGUCCAGUCGGGCGCACAGCGUUCCGAACAAUCGGCAACCUUUGACGGCACCAAUCGCAUGAUUGGCUUGUUGCCGCUGCUGCUGCAUCAACAUAAUUCAUCGGGAAACAGUCACGCAGUGUUGCCACAUUGGGCCGAUCGGCCUAUUUGUUGCACGCCCCCUGUAAGGAGCGCUGGCCGCCACGCGGCCCGUUCCAGCCACGCGAUUGGCUUAAACAGCCGUCGGCAUGGCAACGGGUGAGUUUACCGGGGCCGAUCAAUAAGAUUGAUGGUUUCGGCGAUGGGGUUUUCUCUAUUUUUAUAACAGUUUUCCAUAUUGACCGGUGGACACUUCAGUGGAUGGAAGUGACUAAUGAAAGGCGAGCAUUUCGAGCGAAAAAACACUGCCAGCCUGAUAUUCGAUGAGAUAUUGAAAGCGGCAUCGUUAUUAUAGAAAUCAUUUUUCA
This is a long non-coding RNA of Dendroctonus ponderosae (mountain pine beetle), 707 nucleotides long. RefSeq lists it as uncharacterized. The transcript has 2 exons. The record is from RefSeq and is a predicted model, not a curated record. Lineage: Eukaryota; Metazoa; Arthropoda; Insecta; Coleoptera; Curculionidae.